UGGGGAAUAUUGCGCAAUGGGCGAAAGCCUGACGCAGCAACGCCGCGUGAGUGAUGAAGGCCCUCGGGUCGUAAAGCUCUGUCGGAGGGAACGAAUGCUCCUGAAGUUAACAGCCUCAGGAGGUGACGGUACCCUCAAAGGAAGCACCGGCUAACUCUGUGCCAGCAGCCGCGGUAAUACAGAGGGUGCAAGCGUUGUUCGGAAUCACUGGGCGUAAAGCGCACGUAGGCGGAUAGUUAAGUCAGGGGUGAAAUCCUGGGGCUCAACCCCAGAACUGCCUUUGAUACUGGCUGUCUCGAGGUCGAGAGAGGUUGGUGGAAUUCCUAGUGUAGAGGUGAAAUUCGUAGAUAUUAGGAAGAACACCAGUGGCGAAGGCGGCCAACUGGCUCGAUACUGACGCUGAGGUGCGAAAGCGUGGGGAGCAAACAGGAUUAGAUACCCUAGUAGUCCCUGAGCGGGCUGGCAAGGCGCAU
This 473-nucleotide ribosomal RNA is filed under the name uncultured bacterium. Its description in RNAcentral is "bacterial SSU rRNA". It matches the Rfam family "Bacterial small subunit ribosomal RNA", at positions 355 to 825 of the family's 1533-position model. The record is from RNAcentral.